Long non-coding RNA from Patella vulgata (common limpet), 757 nucleotides. RefSeq lists it as uncharacterized. The transcript has 3 exons. Lineage: Eukaryota; Metazoa; Mollusca; Gastropoda; Patellidae. The record is from RefSeq and is a predicted model, not a curated record.
UAGACAAUAUUAUAACAUCACCUUACUACCCUAAUAAUUACCCAAACACAGGCACUGGUUUGGCUACCAUUCCGAAAUGUCCUGGAAAACAGAUCCUCAUUGUAUUUGAUGAGGAUUUUGUAAUACAGAAAAUAGGUCAAUCACAGUGUGAUCCACACUCAAGUCUCGGCGAGGGUGAUGAUUUAUGUCAAGAUGCCGCAAUUCUUGAGGAUCGCAGUACAUCCGAAAGCUUCCGGUAUUGUGGCGGGACUGCUCCAUCACCGUUCACGGCGACAGGGGAUGUUGUUGUAGCGAUCUCACAAAACGGUGAUAAUAUCGUGUGUAUGGGUUUCAGUUUAACUUACAGUUACGUGGAUGCAUAGAUGUAAAUAUGAAAGUACCGGAUAUGAUGAUGACUUGAGUAGGUGUCAAGUAAAGAAUAAUAAUAAUAUUCAACAUUUGAUUUGUUUAACAGUGGAUGUUUUCUCUCCUUGCUACUUUCCCAUCUUUAUUAUUCUAAUUGGUUUAAUUUUAAUGGAGUGUCUUUGAACUUUCAAUGAAUAUCUCGAGGAAUUAUAAUUGCUUUAACAGUGGAUUUUUUCUCUCCUUUCUAUUUUCGCGUCUUUAUUCUAAUUGGUUUAAUUUUAAUGGAGUGUCUUUGAACUUUCAAUGCAUAUCUCGAGGAAUUAUAAAUGUCGAUAUAAUUGGCUUUAUUGUAAUUGAUUUAAUAUUAACUAGAUGUGUAUAAGUGUCGAUUAUUAAACCCGCUUUUAAUGGA